RNAcentral lists this ribosomal RNA (398 nucleotides) under Salmonella enterica subsp. enterica serovar Typhimurium. RNAcentral's name for it is "partial 23S ribosomal RNA". It matches the Rfam family "Bacterial large subunit ribosomal RNA", at positions 163 to 591 of the family's 2925-position model. Lineage: Bacteria; Pseudomonadati; Pseudomonadota; Gammaproteobacteria; Enterobacterales; Enterobacteriaceae. The record is from RNAcentral.
UCCAUAGGUUAAUGAGGCGAACCGGGGGAACUGAAACAUCUAAGUACCCCGAGGAAAAGAAAUCAACCGAGAUUCCCCCAGUAGCGGCGAGCGAACGGGGAGGAGCCCAGAGCCUGAAUCAGCAUGUGUGUUAGUGGAAGCGUCUGGAAAGGCGCGCGAUACAGGGUGACAGCCCCGUACACAAAAGCGCAUGUGCUGUGAGCUCGAUGAGUAGGGCGGGACACGUGGUAUCCUGUCUGAAUAUGGGGGGACCAUCCUCCAAGGCUAAAUACUCCUGACUGACCGAUAGUGAACCAGUACCGUGAGGGAAAGGCGAAAAGAACCCCGGCGAGGGGAGUGAAAAAGAACCUGAAACCGUGUACGUACAAGCAGUGGGAGCCCCACCACUAAGCCAGUGG